UACGUAGGGUGCGAGCGUUGUCCGGAAUUAUUGGGCGUAAAGGGCUCGUAGGCGGUUUGUCGCGUCGGGAGUGAAAACACGGGGCUUAACCCCGUGCCUGCUUCCGAUACGGGCAGACUAGAGGUAUGCAGGGGAGAACGGAAUUCCUGGUGUAGCGGUGAAAUGCGCAGAUAUCAGGAGGAACACCGGUGGCGAAGGCGGUUCUCUGGGCAUGUCCUGACGCUGAGGAGCGAAAGUGUGGGGAGCGAACAGG
This 253-nucleotide ribosomal RNA is filed under the name uncultured bacterium. Its description in RNAcentral is "partial 16S ribosomal RNA". It matches the Rfam family "Bacterial small subunit ribosomal RNA", at positions 524 to 776 of the family's 1533-position model. The record is from RNAcentral.